UACGUAGGGGGCAAGCGUUGGCCGGAUUUAUUGGGCGUAAAGAGCGUGUAGGCGGCUUUACAGGUCCGUUGUGAAAACUCGAGGCUCAACCUCGAGACGCCGGUGGAAACCGUAAAGCUAGAGUCCGGAAGAGGAGAGUGGAAUUCCUGGUGUAGCGGUGAAAUGCGCAGAUAUCAGGAAGAACACCCGUGGCGAAGGCGGCUCUCUGGGACGGUACUGACGCUGAGACGCGAAAGCGUGGGGAGCGAACAGG
This 253-nucleotide ribosomal RNA is filed under the name uncultured bacterium. RNAcentral's name for it is "partial 16S ribosomal RNA". It matches the Rfam family "Bacterial small subunit ribosomal RNA", at positions 524 to 776 of the family's 1533-position model. The record is from RNAcentral.